Molecule: long non-coding RNA, 593 nt
Organism: Scylla paramamosain (green mud crab)
Lineage: Eukaryota; Metazoa; Arthropoda; Malacostraca; Decapoda; Portunidae
Exons: 3
Source: RefSeq, a predicted model, not a curated record
UACUACUACUACUACUACUACUAUUAUUAUUAAUAAUGAGCCUAAGAGUAUAAAAAAUUUUCACCACGUUUAGAAAGAAAAAAAUAUAUAAAAUUUGGUAUGAGAAAUUAUAUCAUUAUUUACACUCGUAGUCCUUAAGUGUGUUUGUUUACAUUUUCUGAACGGCGUAGUGAAGGUGGUGGCGUCCGCGGUGCUAGUGGUGGGGGUGACGCUGGAAUAGACAUUGCCAAUAGGAUGUACCAGAAGACAGUGUAUGGGAUGGCUGCCCGUCUCCCAUUCAGCUACACGGGGGCGGUGGUGCUGGGCUCGAACAUCAGCAGCACCUUUAAGUCCACCAUCAACAUCACACCUCAAAACACACCCAAACACACCCAAAAUCCUUAAAAUACACCAAGAAAAAGACACAUAAUUAAUUAAUGAACCUUUUACCUACUUUAUUAUUAUUAUUAUUAUUAUUAUUAUUAUUAUUAUUAUUAUUAUUAUUAUUAUUAUUAUUAUUAUUAUAAUUAUUUUAUGCUUUGAAUCACAUCAUAAGGCUCUCACUCACUCUCACAUACACACACGCACGCACACACACUCACCGUCACUUCCUC